UUUUAACGAGAGUUUGAUCCUGGCUCAGGAUGAACGCUGGCGGCGUGCUUAACACAUGCAAGUCGAACGAAGCACUUGAAUGGAAUUCUUCGGAAGGAAGCUCGAGUGACUGAGUGGCGGACGGGUGAGUAACGCGUGGGUAACCUGCCUCAUACAGGGGGAU
RNAcentral lists this ribosomal RNA (163 nucleotides) under Coprococcus sp. AF27-8. RNAcentral's name for it is "partial 16S ribosomal RNA". It matches the Rfam family "Bacterial small subunit ribosomal RNA", at positions 1 to 144 of the family's 1533-position model. The record is from RNAcentral. Lineage: Bacteria; Bacillati; Bacillota; Clostridia; Lachnospirales; Lachnospiraceae.